This 154-nucleotide ribosomal RNA is filed under the name uncultured bacterium. RNAcentral describes it as "partial 16S ribosomal RNA". It matches the Rfam family "Bacterial small subunit ribosomal RNA", at positions 1345 to 1500 of the family's 1533-position model. The record is from RNAcentral.
CAGGUCAGCAUACUGCCGUGAAUACGUUCCCGGGCCUUGUACACACCGCCCGUCACACCAUGAGAGUUGGGGAUACCCGAAGCCUGUGAGCCAACGAAAGAGGCAGCAGUCGAAGGUAGAAUCAAUGAUUGGGGUGAAGUCGUAACAAGGUAAC